This 145-nucleotide ribosomal RNA is filed under the name uncultured Desulfocapsa sp. RNAcentral's name for it is "partial 16S ribosomal RNA". It matches the Rfam family "Bacterial small subunit ribosomal RNA", at positions 1240 to 1382 of the family's 1533-position model. Lineage: Bacteria; Pseudomonadati; Thermodesulfobacteriota; Desulfobulbia; Desulfobulbales; Desulfocapsaceae. The record is from RNAcentral.
CAGAGGGUUGCCAAGCCGCGAGGUGGAGACCAAUCCCUUUAAAGCCGGUCUCAGUCCGGAUUGGAGUCUGCAACUCGACUCCAUGAAGUUGGAAUCGCUAGUAAUCGCGGAUCAGCACGCUGCGGUGAAUACGUUCCCGGGCCUU